Molecule: regulatory RNA element, 123 nt
Organism: Citrobacter koseri ATCC BAA-895
Lineage: Bacteria; Pseudomonadati; Pseudomonadota; Gammaproteobacteria; Enterobacterales; Enterobacteriaceae
Rfam family: Enterobacteria greA leader
Source: Rfam
GUCAUACUACGGCGCAAUGCCCUGGAAAGUAAACGAUGACCCAUAGGGAACUCCAGGGUAAAAUACGUAUCAAAUUGAGAAUUGUAGCUGACCUGGGGCUUUGUACCCGGGUCGGUAUUUUUU